This 26-nucleotide unclassified non-coding RNA is filed under the name Mus musculus (house mouse). RNAcentral's name for it is "oocyte_clustered_small_RNA4366". Lineage: Eukaryota; Metazoa; Chordata; Mammalia; Rodentia; Muridae. The record is from RNAcentral.
UAAUUCACCUUCCUCCUCUGCCUCAA